UACAGAGGGGGCGAGCGUUAUUCGGAAUUAUUGGGCGUAAAGGGCGCGUAGGCGGCUUUUCAAGUGACGGGUGAAAUCCCUCGGCUUAACCGAGGAACUGCCUGUCAGACUGGAAGGCUUGAGACCGGGAGAGGUGAGUGGAAUUCCCAGUGUAGCGGUGAAAUUCGUAGAUAUUCGGAAGAACACCAGUGGCGAAGGCGGCUCACUGGCCCGGUACUGACGCUGAGGUGCGAAAGCGUGGGGAGCAAACAGG
This 253-nucleotide ribosomal RNA is filed under the name uncultured bacterium. Its description in RNAcentral is "partial 16S ribosomal RNA". It matches the Rfam family "Bacterial small subunit ribosomal RNA", at positions 524 to 776 of the family's 1533-position model. The record is from RNAcentral.